RNAcentral lists this ribosomal RNA (447 nucleotides) under uncultured bacterium. RNAcentral describes it as "bacterial SSU rRNA". It matches the Rfam family "Bacterial small subunit ribosomal RNA", at positions 355 to 825 of the family's 1533-position model. The record is from RNAcentral.
UGGGGAAUAUUGGACAAUGGGGGAAACCCUGAUCCAGCAAUGCCGCGUGAAUGAAGAAGGCCUUAGGGUUGUAAAAUUCUUUUGUUCGUGAAGAUAAUGACGGUAGCGGACGAAUAAGCCCUGGCUAACUCUGUGCCAGCAGCCGCGGUAAUACAGAGAGGGCAAGCGUUGUCCGGAAUGACUGGGCGUAAAGCGCGCGCAGGCGGUUUGUUAAGUCAGAGGUGAAAUCCCGGAGCUCAACUUCGGAACUGCCUUUGAUACUGGCAAUCUAGAGUCCGGAAGAGGUUAGUGGAAUUCCCAGUGUAGAGGUGAAAUUCGUAGAUAUUGGGAAGAACACCAGUGGCGAAGGCGGCUAACUGGUCCGGUACUGACGCUGAGGUGCGAAAGCGUGGGGAGCAAACAGGAUUAGAUACCCCGGUAGUCCCUGAGCGGGCUGGCAAGGCGCAU